Long non-coding RNA from Suricata suricatta (meerkat), 743 nucleotides. RefSeq lists it as uncharacterized. The transcript is spliced from 4 exons. NCBI's taxonomy places the organism in Eukaryota, Metazoa, Chordata, Mammalia, Carnivora, Herpestidae. The record is from RefSeq and is a predicted model, not a curated record.
CUCCUUUCAAGACAGGUGCCUAGUGUGACAACAGGGUUAUGACCCUCCCUCUUUUCAGAACUGGUCAAAACUACUAGUUUGAAAGACACUCCUGUCAUCCUGUUCUUCAAAUCAAAGAUAAGGAAACUGAGGCACGGAGAGGGGACAACGAGUUGCUUAGGGAAAGUGGUACAUGGUACAGGACUGAAGCCAGAAACAUGGACCCUGAAGCUCUGGCAAUUUCCACAAACCACUGCAUGGAGGUGCACCCCAGGUUUAUGCCUAAAGAUGCACAAGGCUGAUGUUGCUGGAGUCAAAUUUACACAUUUCUGCAAUGGCGGGCAUCUCGUGUGCCAAUUAUUACCUAUUCCUUGGCCUUGGCUGCUGUCUGCUUUUGGCCAAAAUGCCUGAAACCCUGCCCAGGCUGCAGACUUCCGUCUCCACCUGCCUGAGACUUGGUCUUGAAGGCAUCUUCAGAGCUAGCUGCUACUCCCCUUCAGGGCAACGUUUGUUUUUUCUUUAUACACUGCCCCCCAAAUACAAUAAAACUGUAUCUUUAGUGCAAGCAACAUUAUAACAAGAGAUAUAUACAAGGAAAACAUGUAACAAGGAAAACAGUCACCUCCCCAUCUCUCCAACAUCAUUAGCAAUACAAUUCUCAUCUUUCAGGGUCAAGUUCUUGCCAAUAUGUAUACUUUUUGUGUAUUUCCUAAGAGGAGAAUGACCUGUGGUAUGGAGCAAAAUAUAAAUUAUUUACCAGUUAA